GAUGAACGCUGGCGGCGUGCCUAAUACAUGCAAGUCGAGCGAACAGAUGAGGAGCUUGCUCCUCUGACGUUAGCGGCGGACGGGUGAGUAACACGUGGAUAACCUACCUAUAAGACUGGGAUAACUUCGGGAAACCGGAGCUAAUACCGGAUAAUAUAUUGAACCGCAUGGUUCAAUAGUGAAAGACGGUUUUGCUGUCACUUAUAGAUGGAUCCGCGCCGCAUUAGCUAGUUGGUAAGGUAACGGCUUACCAAGGCAACGAUGCGUAGCCGACCUGAGAGGGUGAUCGGCCACACUGGAACUGAGACACGGUCCAGACUCCUACGGGAGGCAGCAGUAGGGAAUCUUCCGCAAUGGGCGAAAGCCUGACGGAGCAACGCCGCGUGAGUGAUGAAGGUCUUCGGAUCGUAAAACUCUGUUAUUAGGGAAGAACAAAUGCGUAAGUAACUAUGCACGUCUUGACGGUACCUAAUCAGAAAGCCACGGCUAACUACGUG
Molecule: ribosomal RNA, 497 nt
Filed under: uncultured bacterium
Lineage: Bacteria
Description: partial 16S ribosomal RNA
Rfam family: Bacterial small subunit ribosomal RNA
Source: RNAcentral